AUACGGAGGGUGCAAGCGUUACUCGGAAUCACUGGGCGUAAAGGAUGCGUAGGCGGAUAAUCAAGUCAAAAGUGAAAUCCUACAGCUUAACUGUAGAACUGCUUUCGAAACUGGUUAUCUCGAAUAUGGAAGAGGCAGAUGGAAUUAGUGGUGUAGGGGUAAAAUCCGUAGAGAUCACUAGGAAUACCGAUUGCGAAGGCGAUCUGCUGGGACAUUAUUGACGCUGAGGCAUGAAAGCGUGGGGAGCAAACAGGAUUAGAAACCCUAGUAGUCC
Molecule: ribosomal RNA, 274 nt
Filed under: uncultured bacterium
Lineage: Bacteria
Description: partial 16S ribosomal RNA
Rfam family: Bacterial small subunit ribosomal RNA
Source: RNAcentral